AUUAGAGUUUGAUCCUGGCUCAGAUUGAACGCUGGCGGCAUGCCUUACACAUGCAAGUCGAACGGCAGCACGGAGCUUGCUCUGGUGGCGAGUGGCGAACGGGUGAGUAAUAUAUCGGAACGUACCCUAGAGUGGGGGAUAACGUAGCGAAAGUUACGCUAAUACCGCAUACGAUUUAAGGAUGAAAGUGGGGGAUCGCAAGACCUCAUGCUCGUGGAGCGGCCGAUACCUGAUUAGCUAGUUGGUAGGGUAAAAGCCUACCAAGGCAUCGAUCAGUAGCUGGUCUGAGAGGACGACCAGCCACACUGGAACUGAGACACGGUCCAGACUCCUACGGGAGGCAGCAGUGGGGAAUUUUGGACAAUGGGCGAAAGCCUGAUCCAGCAAUGCCGCGUGAGUGAAGAAGGCCUUCGGGUUGUAAAGCUCUUUUGUCAGGGAAGAAACGGUGAAAGCUAAUAUCUUUUGCUAAUGACGGUACCUGAAGAAUAAGCACCGGCUAACUACGUGCCAGCAGCCGCGGUAAUACGUAG
Molecule: ribosomal RNA, 530 nt
Filed under: uncultured bacterium
Lineage: Bacteria
Description: bacterial SSU rRNA
Rfam family: Bacterial small subunit ribosomal RNA
Source: RNAcentral